Molecule: ribosomal RNA, 895 nt
Filed under: uncultured Planctomycetia bacterium
Lineage: Bacteria; Pseudomonadati; Planctomycetota; Planctomycetia
Description: bacterial SSU rRNA
Rfam family: Bacterial small subunit ribosomal RNA
Source: RNAcentral
GGCUGCAGUCGAACGAAUCCCAGGGGCUGUAGCAAUACAGUCUUUGGGGGAAGUGGCGAAAGGGGCAGUAAUGCGUGGGUAACCUACCCCGGGGACCGGGAUAGCCAUCCUAACGGGUGGGUAAUACCGGGCGAUGUAGCGAGGGCACAUGUUCUUGCUACGAAACGAAUUUCGCCUCGGGAGGGGCUCACGUGAUAUUAGCUUGUUGGCGGGGUAACGGCCCACCAAGGCUGAGAUGUCUAGCGGGUGUGAGAGCACGACCCGCGCCACUGGCACUGAGACACUGGCCAGACUCCUACGGGAGGCUGCAGUCGAGGAUCUUCGGCAAUGGGCGCAAGCCUGACCGAGCGACGCCGCGUGCGCGAUGAAGGCCUUCGGGUUGUAAAGCGCUGUCGAGGGGGAGGAAAGCCCGCAAGGGUCUGACUAAUCCCUGGAGGAAGCACGGGCUAAGUUCGUGCCAGCAGCCGCGGUAAGACGAACCGUGCAAACGUUGUUCGGAAUCACUGGGCUUAAAGGGCGCGUAGGCGGCUUGCCAAGUCAGGGGUGAAAUCUUUCGGCUCAACCGGAAAAGUGCCUUUGAUACUGGCAGGCUUGAGGGAGGCAGGGGCAUGUGGAACUUCCGGUGGAGCGGUGAAAUGCGUUGAUAUCGGAAGGAACGCCGGUGGCGAAAGCGACGUGCUGGACCUUUUCUGACGCUGAGGCGCGAAAGCUAGGGUAGCGAACGGGAUUAGAUACCCCGGUAGUCCUAGCCCUAAACGAUGGGUACUAGGUAGUGGACUUAACAUGGGUUCCCUGCCGAAGCAAAAGUGUUAAGUACCCCGCCUGGGGAGUAUGGUCGCAAGGCUGAAACUCAAAGGAAUUGACGGGGGCUCACACAAGCGGUGGCAUGUGGCUU